RNAcentral lists this long non-coding RNA (1166 nucleotides) under Bos indicus x Bos taurus (hybrid cattle). RNAcentral describes it as "lncRNA (ENSBIXG00000022235.1)". Lineage: Eukaryota; Metazoa; Chordata; Mammalia; Artiodactyla; Bovidae. The record is from RNAcentral.
CCAGUGUACAGCAGUGUGCAUACAGAAACUGCUCCAAAAGUAAUAGUUUAUGGAAAAACCAACUGACGCUGCAAAAAGUUCUUUCUUUUGUUCUAGGUAGAAGAAAAUCCAGCGGUCUCCAGUGAUCUUUAGACAUCUUCCCACAUAUGGCAGAUUUUCUGGGAAGGCACUUAGUAAAAAGUGGCAACAGGCUCAAGGAUGCAAGGAGAACUUUCUUCAUAGCCUUAUCCAGGAGGUCAAACCACAAGAGGACAUCUCCUGAAAUUAUCAAGAUGCUGAUGGUGGCUGAUUGGAUGUUUGGUUUCUCAUUGUGAGCUGGCUCAUCUUGCCCUCCAGACUUGCCUGAAAACUCCUUAUUGGAUGUUGAGCCCUGAACGAAUUCCUGUCUGCUGCCACGUGCUGAGUCACGGUUCGUGUGACUCCUCACUGACUCCUGGCUGCCUUCUAGGCAGAUGGGCCUGCCGGGACUGAGAGGAAGCAGCGGCCAGCCAGACACCCACACCUCCAGGCAGAGUCACUUCUGAGAUGCCGUCUUCCGUCCUCGGGGUGAAAACGAGUCAUCGGCCAGCUGGGUGGGGAGAGAGGAGUGGGGUGGGGGUCGGCUGACAUCAUGCCUGAUCUUUCCUGCCGGGUUUGAGGGAAGGUCAUGCUUAAGCUUGACUUUUGAGGGAAAAGGAGGUGACGUCAUCGAUGAGCUUUCUCUGCUUGAGUGUCAGGGGAUGGAGUCACUUCCAGACAGGAAUCUGGGCCUGGAGCAAGAACAGACAGGACACCAGCAGCUCCCUGCCCUCACUUUGCCUGACUGAGAUGCUCUGCUGGAAUUGGGCUACAGGACUGCACAGAAUGCAGCCUGUCUUCUUACAGACAGGGCACUGAGCAGAAGCAGAGUGGUCCAUCAGACAACAGCCUUGCUUAAGAGGACUGACUUCUGGUGAACGGCCCUUACAGUGAGUAACUAAUUCAUCCAAGAGCGGAUAUUAGUCAUUUCCUCAGGCAAAGGUAAACAUCAAUGGGGGCAGGGUUUGGAAAUUCAUGCCAAGUGGUCAGUGUUGAGGAAGCCAUAUAAGGUAAGAGUGAUCACAUACAUUAUUCACGUUUAUUCAUUCAACAAAUACUUAUUGAACAUCAACUAUGUGCUAAGCACCAGAUUUAGGGGUAUGCAAGUU